GUAGUGGAGGAGGAAGCAGCGUGAGGAGAGGAGCAGCACUAACAGCCAGUCACACGAGGAGCAGUGGCUCAGAUAACUGAGGUGAUCGGGGCUCAUCACUUUGGGGACUACCCAAUAGUGCCUGUGGUGGCUGGGACAAGACUGCAGAGAUGCGCCGCCUUGGUGGGGAAGAUGGAUCCGCUGAUUCCAAAUCCACCCGGCGCGUCUUACUUGGCCUCCUGGAAUAUGUGACUACAGUGAAUUCUUACCUGCAAUCCCAGCACCCACAUCAGUUGGCAGUGGCCUGUCUGGAGCGCUGGUCUGGCGUACUGUUGAAAAAUUUAAACAAACAUUAUGACCAUACUUGGAAAACACAUUGUUAACUGCAAAACCUUAGUGUACUGUAACCAUUUUGUACGUAAUGUAAAGUAAACUAAUUUCUGCUUAAA
Pseudophryne corroboree (corroboree frog) is the source of this 428-nucleotide long non-coding RNA. RefSeq lists it as uncharacterized. The transcript is spliced from 3 exons. The record is from RefSeq and is a predicted model, not a curated record. Lineage: Eukaryota; Metazoa; Chordata; Amphibia; Anura; Myobatrachidae.